RNAcentral lists this ribosomal RNA (233 nucleotides) under Staphylococcus felis. RNAcentral describes it as "partial 16S ribosomal RNA". It matches the Rfam family "Bacterial small subunit ribosomal RNA", at positions 291 to 516 of the family's 1533-position model. Lineage: Bacteria; Bacillati; Bacillota; Bacilli; Caryophanales; Staphylococcaceae. The record is from RNAcentral.
GCUGUGAGGGUGAUGGGCCACACUGGAACUGAUACACGGUCGAGUCUACUACGUGAGGCAGCAGUAUGGUAUCUUCCUCAUUGGACGAUAGUCUGACGGAGCAACGGCGCGUGAGUGAUGAUGGUCUUCGUAUAGGAAAGCUCUGUUGUUCUUGAAGAACAAAGGUGUAAUUAACUGUGCACAUCUUGACGGUUCCUAACGAGUAAGCCACUGCUAAAUACGUGCCAGCAGGC